Bemisia tabaci is the source of this 2203-nucleotide non-coding RNA. The record is from RefSeq and is a predicted model, not a curated record. Lineage: Eukaryota; Metazoa; Arthropoda; Insecta; Hemiptera; Aleyrodidae.
ACUUUUAGAGCUUUUACUAACUUUCUCUAAUACGCAUAUAUUUUUCCUUUUAUAACCUCUGGAGGUGCCUUGUACUUAAAUUCUUUUAGAACAAUCGAGAGGCUUGGAGGACAGGGCGCUUAAGUGCAGUUUUUGCUAUUCAAGGGACGUUUUUAAGGUUUCAAAAUUAUAUGGAGCCUUAAGGCAGAAAAGAAGUUUAAAGUCACUCUUUGAUGCUUUAAAGUUGGAUUCUAGUUGUGAAUUGUUGGCGGUAUAUGCUUUCAAACUAGUAGGUAUUUGUUGAGUCCACGAAAAUCUCAAUUUUUCAAUAACUGCACUUAUGCGCCUUUGUCCUCCAAGCCCCUCAAUCGAAGAUACAACUCCAGCAUCAUGCGUCAUGUAUAACAUUUACUCUCCUUAUUCUUUUUAUAUAUUUUUCAGCCACAUGCAUCUUGUUAUAAUUAUUUACCUGCCUCUUCUUCUCUCUUUUCGUUUCUAUUGUUUAUUUCCCCUUUUCAUAUUUUACUUUAGUGCCUCUGAUGUGAUGGUGCUUGGUACAGUUGCUUCUCAGAAUUAUAUGUGAGCAAGUUCUGGAAAUAAAACUGGCCGAACCCUGUGCCCAAUUAACUUUGUUGAAGUGGGACCACGAAUGCUAAGUUUAAGACAUUGCCUACGAAGACAGGGAUGAAAGAAGAAUGUAGUACUUAUAAUCGUCCCAUACCUAGGAUGUUCAAACAACAGAAUAAAAUUUACAAAUGAAAAAUAAAUACAUCUCAUACGCUUGGACACAAUUAAAGAACGAAACAAUUGUUAAGCGUAAUAAGUAGGUAACAGUAACGCCUUAUUAUUUUUCCCCCUUUAGACAGAAGUUCUUUUGACCAUUUAAGAUGACUAAUUUUUUUUGCCCAAGUAGCAUAGAAGUAAAGGAUGAAGUACGACCUCGUGUUUCUUUCUUUCUAAUUUUUAACGCAUUGAGAGCAAGGUCCCUCAGUGCUAUAGAAAAUUGGUUUUGUGCGUAGAGUUAGUCAAAGAAAAAUCAUAAUUUCAGAUGGUUUCAGUACUUAUGGAACAAAAUUAAAAUUAUGCAAAAAAAAAAAAAUAAAAUAAAAUAAAAUAAAAUAAAAUAAAAAAAAUUUAAAAAAUUCUACUUUUAUCAUUUUUUAAUUUUGUUGAAACAUUUAGAAACUUUCAUUAUUCCUUCCAUGCCACUUGAAUGACUAUAUAAUAGAUGUCUUGCAAAAUUUUUAAAGUUUGUAGCCUUGGUGAAUUUUAUAUGACUGCAUCAGUAAAAGAACUCGAGCCCAGUUUUGAAAGAAAAAACAAAAAACAAACAAACAAACAAAACUGCUUAAUUGAGGGAAAACUGGGAGACACAGUGGCUAAUAUAAGUUAAAAAGAAUUCAUGCAACAGUUAAGCUGGUAAAAGCAACAGUUCGUUGGAUUUUCAUUUCAGAUUUUUAAUCUACACAAGAAUUAUAAUUGAGAAGAGUCAUACUUAAAAGGCUGUUAAGACAGAAUCUAGAAGGAACUUUUCAUACAAUUAUUUACACUUGACUGGAGGAUCCCAUUUUUGCAAUUCCGAGCGGUAUCACUAAGGUAAAAAUAAGAACAAGAAUCAUUCCUAAUAUUUGACAAAGAUAAUCAUUUAAACUCAACACUUUUUGGAUUAAAUAGAUUGCAGUUAUACGUUUGAUACUGUUCCCUUUCACUCAAAAUUCAAACACUCUAUUUUAGCUUAUAUUUCCAAGUAACAAUUUUGAGGCAAUGAAAAAAUCUCUAAAACAAAAUCACUCAUUUCAUAUUUUUCCUCAUUCCAUACUAUAAUAAAUGGUGAGAAAUGUCAAAGCUUGAAACAAGAUUAUUGAAAGUGUGCAAUUAGUUUAUACGGCACAUAAGUUCACUUCCAGGUAAUCAUCUUAGGACAUUAAAACUCAGACAGGAUGAGGUAAAGGUCAUGGAAACUCAAAAAAAUCAAUGUUAUAUCAUUCAUCCAUCAUUCCUCAUUCCUCAUUCUUAACAUCUAACUCUCAUUAGUGAUACCACUCCAUUCCCAAAAGAGGAAUUUUUGUAUUAGAACAAAAAAUUUACAUGGUCCUUCAAAACUGAUGACAUAAAAAAUAAUAACAUUUAAUAAAUAGAAUUUUAAAACAAAAAACUACAGUUUAUCACAGAUCAUCCUUAAAAUUAUAGACAAAAAACAAAACAGGUUCUAAAAUCUUGGAAA